Molecule: long non-coding RNA, 3757 nt
Organism: Chrysolophus pictus (golden pheasant)
Lineage: Eukaryota; Metazoa; Chordata; Aves; Galliformes; Phasianidae
Source: Ensembl
GAAUUUGCAGCACCUGUUGGUGGAAAACCUGCUGGCAAUCCAGCACACUGCUGGGGCUUUAAGAGUUGUCUGACAGCUGUGAUAAUACCCCACUCUGCUCCUCUGCCAUCCCCAGGCUUAAUGCAAACACCUGGCCAGGACGAAAGUUUGAUCCUACAAGAGCCAAGCAAUGCAGCAGCUCCAUCUCAUUGGCCAGAAGAUAAGCACUGCACGUGCAGAUCUCCCAGAUGACUUGUUCCAGGACUCUUCAUACACCCUCCGAAAGCCAAAUGUAAGGGAAAGGCUGCUCCAUGUGGUGCAUCGAGCACGUUUCAUUCUGUGGGCCUCAAAUUGAGCAAAAAGGGCUGUCAGAACAAGGCUGCAGGAUGCAGGCUCUGACCUUCACCCCCUGGUCUCUCCUGUUCUCAUUGGUGCUGUGUGGUGAGGGGAGGCUCCUGCAGCACCUGCCCUGGGGUGAGGCAUCGCAGUUUGUUCCUGUCCCUGCCUUCAAGGUCUGUACCAUUCCACAUGGCUGUUUCUCUAGGAGAAAGCAUGUGUUCAACCGUGUGAACUGUCUCCACCGAGCUGCAGCCUGGCUGAGUAAUGCAAUCCUUCACCUCUCUCCUCAGAGUACAGAAAGGACAGAAGUGCACUGACUACAAGUAGGGCAUCCCACCCUGGUUUUGCUGCUGCAACAAGCCCCUCUGGUUCUGUCGGAAGGGUUUUGUGUGCAGAGAGAUGUAGCAGAUAGGCUGUGUUUGCCUGGGCCAUGAGGAGUAGCAUCCCUUUACAAGCAAAGAUGUGCUCUUUAGCCUGCCAGGCAGUGUGCUUGGGAGCUCCACUGCUUCCUCAGAUGUCCACAAAACAUCAUCCUACAAGGUGGCACCUACCAGCUGCUCUCACCUGGGUGGGGGAUGUGAGCCACUGUGUGCUCUGCUGGCCCUGUGCACAGCGAGGGGCAUUGGUGGUGUGCAUGGGAGAAACCAUAAAUGCAGUUAGAGCGGGGAGGGAGAGGAAUUGCACCAUCCGUUAUCCAACUUGAGCAAAGUGACAUGAACAAGGAUAUUAUUUUAGAAAGUUUAUCUCUUUAGUAUCUAUGGUGACAAGAUGCUUAUCGGAGUAAGACAGACUCACAGGCUGUCUGCUCCUUGUUAUCUCAGUGUAGGAUGACAGUAUAAGUAUCACGUCUAGAAAUGUUAUCUAUCCUUUAUUAUUUCACUUGUGAGGGGCUAACAGGAGUGUUAUCAGGGUGUUUACAAUCAAAACACGUGCGGCUCAAGUGAUAAAAAGGAGAACAGACAUCUGAUCUCCAAGGAUAUGAAGACAAUACAGCCUUGAGCAGGAGGAGAUGGAUCUUAUUGGAGAUGGUUUGUCGGGCUGGGAAUGGACAAGCAAGCCUGCGUGAUUGCUCACAUCAUAAGCUUGAGAGAUGGGAUGGGGGAAAUGCAUGCAUACGAGUGCACAUACUCUCACAGAAAAUGAAAAGGCGAUCGUAUCAACAGCGCUCUCAGCUGAAAGAGAAAUAUUUUCCAAUAAUUUUGUUAUGAUUUUUUUUUUUUCCUGUACUCUCUUCUCACUUGGAGUGGUAAUGUGGCAAGCUGGCAGGACCAGCAAGUGCUGUAGAGUUGCUUGGAGUGAGUCAGAAGCUGAGAAAGCUUACCCAGGCCUGGAGAGUGGAGAACACACAGCUGGUAAGAUUGCUUAUCAGGGGUCUCCUUUAGAUUAGCACAAUGCUGGCCCAAGCUUCUGCAAGGUAAGGAAUCAAUUUCGGGGUUAGUGGUGACUAUAAACCUUAUCCUAGAUCUCUUUAGGGUCAGGGAGGCUAAAUCCCUUGUGGACGGAGGUGUGCAAAGAUCUCCCAGACAUCAGAUUCUCAUUAGUCUACAGUGUGAGCAAACCAGGUGCUCAGUGUAUCAAAUUCUGAUUUUCUUACUUGGCAUAAAUGAUCCUCAGUUGUUAAAGAAAGGGCUGGAUUGUGCAACACUGUCCAAACCCAGGUCUCACUCCUGGAGGUGGCUGUGGAUUCUUGGAUAGAUAGACUUCAUUGGAUGUUUUCUUCUUCUGUUGCAAUUAAAGACUCCAUUCUCCUAAGAUAGAACAGUUCUCUUAAGCCAAGCAGAGGGCUUUUAUCCCACAAGAUAACAUGGAGCAAGGAGUAUGUCUUUUGGGGGACAUAGAUGGAGGCCAGGCAUGUUGAGGUGCAAUGGGUGGGCAUAUUGUGGCCUGCUGGUGACAAACCCACCUCUGAACAUCUCUUCCUAUCUGUAUAACUGGCUUCCAACAAGAAGUAGGCAGCUUCUUGUUUUCCUUCCUUUCACAGCAAUUUCAGGGCUUUUUAUGUUUGUAUUAUGGGAUAGAAGUGCAGCACAUUCACACAGAGGUUGGUGGGACAGGUUGCCCAAGGAGGCUGUGGAUGCCUCAUCCCUGGAGGCAUUCAAGGCCAGGCUGGAUGUGGCUCUGGGCAGCCUGGUCUGCUGGUUGGCGACCUGCACAUAGCAGGGGGUUGGAACUGGAUGAGCAUUGUGGUCCUUUUCAACCCAGGCCAUUCUAUGGGAAGGGGGUAGGGAAAGAACACAAACACCUCACCCUCAGCAUAGUUCUGCAUUAACCUGACUCUUAGCUCCAUAUUCAUCUUGAGCUGGGUAUCACAUAAAGAGAACUGCUUUCAACCUGUCUAAAUGACUCUCCCAUCACUCUCUAAUGGCUGUCAACUGCAGAUAACCCUUCUUCACCUGUGGAAACUGGCAGCAGCACCUCAGGCUCAUUUAUGAGAAAUUAUCUCUGGUUGUGAUACAUGGUGCAUUUUUUUUUUCAUUUGAACCCCUAGCUUAGCAGGGCCAUUGGGGCUGUUUUGUAUGGUAAUAUAUGACCCAUCACUCCUCUCCUGCCCUUCGUCUCUCACACCUUUAAUUGCACUUGUGUUUCUGAAGCAUAUGGAAUUCAUUAUUCAGCAAGCAAGGUCCUUUGCAAUAUCAGCCUUAAUUAACUGUUCCCCUCUGCAUUUUCUUGCUCUUAUCCUCUCCAAAUCUACACACCAAGACAGGCUGAUGGCCCCCCACAUGCAUCAGUGCCAGCCAGUGAGCCAUGACCAGAUAAGAAGAAAUGGAAUUCCUUAUCUCUUUUUUUUUCUUCUUCUUUCUUAAAAUACACGCACACACACCCUGGAAAAGGUCAAGGUUACUGGGAUGGGAGAAGGCACUUCAAGACAACAAAACCCCCUUCUCUUUCAAGUCUCCAUAGCAACUUGAAGGAGCAUCAUGGGAUGUCAGGAUGAGAGAGGCCUAUUCUUUUCGUGCAACACUCUANNNNNNNNNNNNNNNNNNNNNNNNNNNNNNNGGGCAACACUCUUUCCACUUCAUUAGACUCUUUAUCAAGUAUCUCUGCUCUGGGCUGAGUAUAUUUUUUUGUGUCAGGGAGCAGUGCAGAUGACUCAAAAGCACGCUGACCUUUUCAGUGGGACCCGGGAGUUCCUUGUGGGAGCUGCAUCCUCUUCCCUUGCCUUCCUCCCCCACAGCCCCUCGCCUCCAGUUCGCAUGACCUCGGUCUGCCUGGCCUUCUCAUCAAAACCCCGUGGCUGGGGAGGGAUGAAGGGCUUCUUUAAAAGGAGAAAGGGAGAAAAAAAAAAAAUUAAAGAGAGCGGAGUAUGAGAAUGUCCUUCGCUGGCACUGGAGGUGUCAAGACCCUAGCUGUCAGAGCUGUGCAUCUGUGGGGAAGAUUAAUGACUCAGCUCAGAGAAAAUCCAAAUAAAAUAGGAGAGAAUAAAUGCCGAGUGACUGCG